CUCCUCUGUAUGCCAAAGUGUUUUAGAGUCAAAUGUGAGGCUGUCUGUCCGACAGAUAAAGCUUCUUCUAAAUUAGGCCAUGCAACAGGAUAAUGACCCCAAGCACAGCAGCAAAUCUACAUCAUGGAAGUCCAGACCUCAACCUGACUGAAAUGCUGUGUAUAAAGGAAUGCUUGCAAAUGUCAUUGAUUUGAAGUUAUUGCUGCUAACUGCUGGUUCUGUUAACGACUCAAUCAUAGAAUGAUUACGAUAUCAAACUAAAACAAAUGCCUGAAUCCUAAAUUGUGGAUAUCCUAUUGUGGUGAUCUAAAAUGUAACACUAAAUGUGAUUAAAACACUAAUAAUCUGGACUCCAGGGCUGAACGACCGCGAGGAUCACCAGCCCGAGGAAAAGACAAAAUACACAUGACUCUGUGACAAAGACAAUUCAUUCUUGAAUGAAGACACUGAUCAGACACAUUUAAAAUGCAGUCAAUUUUGUUUAUUAUGAAAUUAUUGGGGAGAGAGGGGAGGGAGAGGAGAAGGGAAAAUUAAGCUGGAACAGAGGUGGAGGAAGAUGAGGCAGGAGUGGCCCUGCGGAGGAAGAAGCGGAAGCACUUUUUCUUCUUCUUGAGUUGCUUUUCCACAAGCACUUUCUUCUCUAGUAUGAGGGAUCUCAACUCGUCCACUGUUUCUGUAUUUUGCUUCUUAAGUUUGUUGCAUAUUUUUUCCACUUCUUCUGAUUUGGCUUGUUCUUCUUUGAGCCUUUCUUUGAGUUCUUUAGCUGUUGCCUCCUGUUUUUGCACUUUCUCCUUUUCUCCUUCCAGUUCAGCUGUUGUGUGCUUAAUUUUGUUGCCAAGUUCUUGCAGUUUUUGCACUUUCUCCUUUUCUCCUUCCAGUUCAGCUGUUGUGUGCUUAAUUUUGUUGCCAAGUUCUUGCAGUUUUUGCUUUGUCUUCUCAAAGUCUUGGACAAGAAGAAGUUUUUCUUUGUUCUGCUUUAUGUCCUGUUGUUCUUUUUCUUGACACAGCUCUUCAUAUUUGUUCCGUGUUUCAUGAUGUAUUGCCUGCAGUGCUCUGUAUUUUCCUUCCAUGCCUUGGAGCUGGCAUUGCAUUUCUCCCUGGUUUAUGACCAGUUCUUCUUUCACUUCAAGGAUUUCUGUAUUUUUUUGGAAAGCUUCAUCGAGCUUUACUUGCAAGCAUUCAUUGUUUUUCUCCAUGUUCUGAAUCUUGCAAUCUAGUUCUUUUUGUUUCAUCUCCUGUUGCUUUUUCUCUUGCAGCAACUCGUCAUAUUUGUGCAUUGUUUCUUUAAGCCCUGCCUGCAGCAUCCUGUCUUUUCCCUCCAUGUGUUGGAGUUGCCUCUCCAUGUCUCGCUUCUUUAUGUCCUCUUGGUUCUUCUCUUCGAGGAUCGCUUCAUUUAUUUGCAGAGCUUCAUCAAGCUUUAUUUGCAGCUCGUCAUUUUCUUUCUUGAUGUCUUUAAGCUCGCGGCCCAUUCGCCUUUGUUUGAUCUGCUGCUGCCUUUUCUCUUGAAGAACCUCUUUAUUUGUUUCCUGAUUUUUAUCAUCCCUUGCUUUUACCACUCUGUAUUUCAUCUCCAUCUUUUCAAGUUCAUCAUGCAUCUGUCUUUCUCUCAUGUCCUGUUGUUUCUUCUCCUGGAGGAUUUCUUUAAUUUUUUCUAGAGCUUCAUCCAGGUUUCCUUGGAGCUCUUGGUUCCUUUCCUCCAUGUCUUUGAUAUCCCACUGUUUUUCAUCAAUAAUACUCUCCUUUUCCUGGAGCAGGUAGGACAUUUUUUUUAAUUGAGCGCUCUGUCUCUCAUUUUCCUCCAUCAAUAAGGCAAUCUUCUCUCUGUUAAGAAGAUUUUCAUUCUCCAUUUCUGCCAAGUGCUUCUCCUCUAAUUCAACUUGCUCAGCCCAGGGAAGAGAGGAGAGGUAAGGGUCUUCUGGUUCAUCCCAGUGAAGAGCGCCGGGGUCAACUUCUUGACUUUUUGGUUCUUCUCCUUGAGACAUGUUGGAGUCUGGAGUCAGGAUCCAAAUGUGUCCAAAUGCUUCUCUGGCGAACAGUUGAGGGCUGCAAACAGAAAUACUGCCAGUAAUGGACUAAAUGUCGUUGUUUUUCACCGUUAUUUGUCGGUUUUAGGAUCAAAUGAUCACGUUGGUGGUAAGACUCUAAAUCUGUGUCACGAACAGUCGAAGGCUGCGAACAUAAAUGCUGCAAAUAACAGACUAAAAGUUGUUGCUUCUCACCCCUAUUUAUGGGUUUAAGGAUCAAAGGCUCAAAGUGGUGGUAAGAUUCUAAAUGGGUGCGAUGUCACGAUUCUGGACAACAUGGUUACCAUAGUUAGAAUAAUAAACUUUAUGAUGUGUUGCUAACAUUUUGGUUGUUGUGAUGAUUCAAAUUUGUUCAGUAAACUUCAUCAAAAUGAACAUGUGUUGACAUAAGCAUAUAUUUGGAUCUCAUAUCUUCUUAUUAAAUGUAGCUAAUGUCCAAUAAGAUAAGAUAAGAUAACCUUUAUUAGUCCCACACGUGGGAAAUUUGUUUUGUCACAGCAGGAAGUGGACAGUGCAAAAGUUAUGAAGCAAAAAUUAGAAUGAAAUAAAAUAAGAAUAAGAAUAAAUACAGUACACUGUAUUUAUAAAAAACUGAACUCUGGGACUUACUCAACACUAAUA
Molecule: long non-coding RNA, 2645 nt
Filed under: Oreochromis niloticus (Nile tilapia)
Lineage: Eukaryota; Metazoa; Chordata; Actinopteri; Cichliformes; Cichlidae
Description: lncRNA (ENSONIG00000042942.1)
Source: RNAcentral